Molecule: ribosomal RNA, 465 nt
Filed under: Vreelandella stevensii
Lineage: Bacteria; Pseudomonadati; Pseudomonadota; Gammaproteobacteria; Oceanospirillales; Halomonadaceae
Description: partial 16S ribosomal RNA
Rfam family: Bacterial small subunit ribosomal RNA
Source: RNAcentral
CCUACGGGCGGCUGCAGUGGGGAAUAUUGGACAAUGGGGGCAACCCUGAUCCAGCCAUGCCGCGUGUGUGAAGAAGGCCCUCGGGUUGUAAAGCACUUUCAGUGAGGAAGAACGCCUGGUGGUUAAUACCCAUCAGGAAAGACAUCACUCACAGAAGAAGCACCGGCUAACUCCGUGCCAGCAGCCGCGGUAAUACGGAGGGUGCGAGCGUUAAUCGGAAUUACUGGGCGUAAAGCGCGCGUAGGUGGCUUGAUAAGCCGGUUGUGAAAGCCCCGGGCUCAACCUGGGAACGGCAUCCGGAACUGUCAAGCUAGAGUGCAGUAGAGGAAGGUAGAAUUCCCGGUGUAGCGGUGAAAUGCGUAGAGAUCGGGAAGAAUACCAGUGGCGAAGGCGGCCUUCUGGACUGACACUGACACUGAGGUGCGAAAGCGUGGGUAGCAAACAGGAUUAGAUACCCUAGUAGUC